Molecule: ribosomal RNA, 236 nt
Filed under: uncultured bacterium
Lineage: Bacteria
Description: partial 16S ribosomal RNA
Rfam family: Bacterial small subunit ribosomal RNA
Source: RNAcentral
CCGACGGGUGAGUAACGCGUAUGCAACUUGCCUAUCAGAGGGGGAUAACCCGGCGAAAGCCGGACUAAUACCGCAUGAAGCAGGGAUCCCGCAUGGGAAUAUUUGCUAAAGAUUCAUCGCUGAUAGAUAGGCAUGCGUUCCAUUAGGCAGUUGGCGGGGUAACGGCCCACCAAACCGACGAUGGAUAGGGGUUCUGAGAGGAAGGUCCCCCACAUUGGUACUGAGACACGGACCAA